This 1459-nucleotide ribosomal RNA is filed under the name Pectobacterium brasiliense. RNAcentral describes it as "bacterial SSU rRNA". It matches the Rfam family "Bacterial small subunit ribosomal RNA". The record is from RNAcentral. Lineage: Bacteria; Pseudomonadati; Pseudomonadota; Gammaproteobacteria; Enterobacterales; Pectobacteriaceae.
UGGGUGACGAGCGGCGGACGGGUGAGUAAUGUCUGGGAAACUGCCUGAUGGAGGGGGAUAACUACUGGAAACGGUAGCUAAUACCGCAUAACCUCGCAAGAGCAAAGAGGGGGACCUUCGGGCCUCUCGCCAUCAGAUGUGCCCAGAUGGGAUUAGCUAGUAGGUGAGGUAAUGGCUCACCUAGGCGACGAUCCCUAGCUGGUCUGAGAGGAUGACCAGCCACACUGGAACUGAGACACGGUCCAGACUCCUACGGGAGGCAGCAGUGGGGAAUAUUGCACAAUGGGCGCAAGCCUGAUGCAGCCAUGCCGCGUGUGUGAAGAAGGCCUUCGGGUUGUAAAGCACUUUCAGCGGGGAGGAAGGCGGUGAGGUUAAUAACCUUAUCGAUUGACGUUACCCGCAGAAGAAGCACCGGCUAACUCCGUGCCAGCAGCCGCGGUAAUACGGAGGGUGCAAGCGUUAAUCGGAAUGACUGGGCGUAAAGCGCACGCAGGCGGUCUGUUAAGUUGGAUGUGAAAUCCCCGGGCUUAACCUGGGAACUGCAUUCAAAACUGACAGGCUAGAGUCUUGUAGAGGGGGGUAGAAUUCCAGGUGUAGCGGUGAAAUGCGUAGAGAUCUGGAGGAAUACCGGUGGCGAAGGCGGCCCCCUGGACAAAGACUGACGCUCAGGUGCGAAAGCGUGGGGAGCAAACAGGAUUAGAUACCCUGGUAGUCCACGCUGUAAACGAUGUCGAUUUGGAGGUUGUGCCCUUGAGGCGUGGCUUCCGGAGCUAACGCGUUAAAUCGACCGCCUGGGGAGUACGGCCGCAAGGUUAAAACUCAAAUGAAUUGACGGGGGCCCGCACAAGCGGUGGAGCAUGUGGUUUAAUUCGAUGCAACGCGAAGAACCUUACCUACUCUUGACAUCCAGAGAAUUUGCUAGAGAUAGCUUAGUGCCUUCGGGAACUCUGAGACAGGUGCUGCAUGGCUGUCGUCAGCUCGUGUUGUGAAAUGUUGGGUUAAGUCCCGCAACGAGCGCAACCCUUAUCCUUUGUUGCCAGCGAUUCGGUCGGGAACUCAAAGGAGACUGCCGGUGAUAAACCGGAGGAAGGUGGGGAUGACGUCAAGUCAUCAUGGCCCUUACGAGUAGGGCUACACACGUGCUACAAUGGCGUAUACAAAGAGAAGCGACCUCGCGAGAGCAAGCGGACCUCAUAAAGUACGUCGUAGUCCGGAUUGGAGUCUGCAACUCGACUCCAUGAAGUCGGAAUCGCUAGUAAUCGUAGAUCAGAAUGCUACGGUGAAUACGUUCCCGGGCCUUGUACACACCGCCCGUCACACCAUGGGAGUGGGUUGCAAAAGAAGUAGGUAGCUUAACCUUCGGGAGGGCGCUUACCACUUUGUGAUUCAUGACUGGGGUGAAGUCGUAACAAGGUAACCGUAGGGGAACCUGCGGUUGGAUCACCUCCUUACCAAGAAG